UACGUAGGGCGCGAGCGUUGUCCGGAAUUAUUGGGCGUAAAGAGCUCGUAGGCGGCCUGUCGCGUCAAUUGUGAAAGCCCGGGGCUUAACCCCGGGUCUGCAGUCGAUACGGGCAGGCUAGAGUGUGGUAGGGGAGAUCGGAAUUCCUGGUGUAGCGGUGAAAUGCGUAGAUAUCGAGAGGAACACCCGUGGCGAAGGCGGUUCUCUGGGACGGUACUGACGCUGAGACGCGAAAGCGUGGGGAGCGAACAGG
Molecule: ribosomal RNA, 253 nt
Filed under: uncultured bacterium
Lineage: Bacteria
Description: partial 16S ribosomal RNA
Rfam family: Bacterial small subunit ribosomal RNA
Source: RNAcentral